RNAcentral lists this ribosomal RNA (253 nucleotides) under uncultured bacterium. RNAcentral's name for it is "partial 16S ribosomal RNA". It matches the Rfam family "Bacterial small subunit ribosomal RNA", at positions 524 to 776 of the family's 1533-position model. The record is from RNAcentral.
UACGAAGGGUGCAAGCGUUACUCGGAAUUACUGGGCGUAAAGCGUGCGUAGGCGGUUUGUUAAGUCCGUUGUGAAAGCCCUGGACUCAACCUGGGAAUUGCAGUGGAUACUGGCGAGCUAGAGUGCGGUAGAGGAUGGUGGAAUUCCCGGUGUAGCGGUGAAAUGCGUAGAGAUCGGGAGGAACACCCGUGGCGAAGGCGGCCAUCUGGACCAGCACUGACGCUGAGGCACGAAAGCGUGGGGAGCGAACAGG